This 492-nucleotide ribosomal RNA is filed under the name uncultured bacterium. RNAcentral describes it as "partial 16S ribosomal RNA". It matches the Rfam family "Bacterial small subunit ribosomal RNA", at positions 29 to 507 of the family's 1533-position model. The record is from RNAcentral.
AGUGAACGCUGGCGGUAGGCCUAACACAUGCAAGUCGAACGGCAGCACAGUAAGAGCUUGCUCUUACGGGUGGCGAGUGGCGGACGGGUGAGGAAUACAUCGGAAUCUACUUUUUCGUGGGGGAUAACGUAGGGAAACUUACGCUAAUACCGCAUACGACCUACGGGUGAAAGCAGGGGAUCUUCGGACCUUGCGCGAUUGAAUGAGCCGAUGUCGGAGUAGCUAGUUGGCGGGGUAAAGGCCCACCAAGGCGACGAUCCGUAGCUGGUCUGAGAGGAUGAUCAGCCACACUGGAACUGAGACACGGUCCAGACUCCUACGGGAGGCAGCAGUGGGGAAUAUUGGACAAUGGGCGCAAGCCUGAUCCAGCCAUGCCGCGUGGGUGAAGAAGGCCUUCGGGUUGUAAAGCCCUUUUGUUGGGAAAGAAAAGCAGCAGGUUAAUACCCCGCUGUUCUGACGGUACCCAAAGAAUAAGCACCGGCUAACUUCGUG